CCAUGAACUGUUGCAGAUUCUACAGCUCACCAUUGACACAACAUGAACCUUUCUUUGCAGCAGACUCGUACUCCCUCGAUUCCUUUUUACAUGCACUCUUUCCUUUUUAUUCUGUUAAAAAAGAAUAACGCCUUUGUAUAUUUGGAAAGUCUUUAACCUUAAACUUCUCAUUUUACACCUAAUGACAUGCUUUUAUAGCUACAAAAAUAUCAUGGAAGGUUUUAGACCACAAGUUCUAAAGAUGCUUUUUGCAUAUGGCUAUGCCCAGUCAAACACCACUAUAUAAAAUGAAGCGGAGGGAGUAAUUACAAGGAGUAUAUCA
This 322-nucleotide long non-coding RNA is filed under the name Nicotiana benthamiana. Its description in RNAcentral is "long non-coding RNA (NBEN_LNC041399)". Lineage: Eukaryota; Viridiplantae; Streptophyta; Magnoliopsida; Solanales; Solanaceae. The record is from RNAcentral.